AAGAGUUUAGGUUAAUAAAAGACCUAAGGCCUUCAAAGCCUUAAGUAGAAGUGAAAAUCCUCUAACCCUUG
RNAcentral lists this transfer RNA (71 nucleotides) under Hippocampus erectus (lined seahorse). Its description in RNAcentral is "tRNA-Trp". It matches the Rfam family "tRNA". From Rfam's summary of the family: Transfer RNA (tRNA) molecules are approximately 80 nucleotides in length. The record is from RNAcentral. Lineage: Eukaryota; Metazoa; Chordata; Actinopteri; Syngnathiformes; Syngnathidae.